AUGUACACCGAAGAAGGCACCUCCUUCCUGGACUCCGCUUCCUGCAGGGGGCCACAGUGUAUGCAUGAGGUGAGCAACCUCAAGCCAUUGCAUCCAGCUCUCACCUCCACUCCCCUUUGCUCCUUCAAACACCCCUGCAGAAGAGAGAAUAACUGCGUGCACUGCAGCCAGACCAGCAGGUCUGUCUCAGUACCCUACACGGCUGCAGACAAGUCAAAUCGGAGCUCAGAAGGGGCCGCUGUUUGCAGGACCCCAACGCCAACUCAAGACCAGAUCCAGGCACUGCUCAGGGGUGCUCCAAUAACACCAACACCCCUGAAGAUCAAUGAGCUACAAAAUGAGGCGGAGCAGGUCUCAGAGUGUUCAGGCAGGAUGAUGAAUUUGAUGAUGGACGAAAACAUAAAUGAAGACGGUCAGAAGUCCAGCAGUUCCUCACAGGUUCUGAGGGAGAAUCAGCUGCUGCAGGUUGAGAGAGGCUCGGCACAUCUCUGUGAGGAGCUGGACUGCUUUCCUCUGGAUGGGCUGGUGGGGGUGUGGUGGUGCGAGCAACCUGUCACCCGUUUGGACUGUUCCUUGGCUCACCAGAAGUCAGAGGUGAGCCCACCUGUCCGACUGAAUGAUGUAGCUCACCUGUGAGAUCAGCUGAGAUGAUACUCCAAUCAGGAGUUCUCUCUUCUUCCUCUCAAACGGAAUUUCUGCAGCCUCGUGCGAUUCGAUUAAUUGAUUUCUUGAGCAGUUUGAAACUUGCACUUUAUUCCUUUCAUGAAACUUUUACAGGUGUUCUUGCUUAUUUAGUAAUUUAUUAGUCACUAUGUUUAUUUGAAAUAACAUUGUGUACAAUUUAACUUAUUUUUUUGAUGAUUAAUUUCUUGAGAAGCACGAAGCAUUCCAGUAAUUUGUGUGUUGUUGUUGAAUCAAAUACGGUAACACAGUUUCUUUCUUGUGGAAAACUCAGAAAUUUCUAACUGUUGCAGUUUGCAUCAGAAUUGAUCAGUUUUACACUUUUGACCAAGAACCAGACAUGAGACACAAAUAACCUUUUAUCACAGGCUGAACUCUGUGUUACUUUGCUGCCUUGUGUUUUAUUUUUCGUGUGUUUGAACUGCAGAACUGCACAUGAGAUUAUUUUAUCUUUGACUGACAGGAUGCUGUGAGAAUAAAUUACUGGGUUAAAUGUUUUAAAUUAAACUGUCAGAAAUAAAUUGUUAGCAGUAAACUUGUCGAAAUUAAGUGACAUAAUAAACUUGUCUGGUCAUGUCAUGAUUUGGACCCUGGUUCUUUGAUUUGUUUUCUUUAUUUGAUUUGAGGUUUGAUUUUUUUUUUUUUGUGAGUGUAUAUCCUUUUAGUAGCUAUCAGCUGUUUGCAUUGGUGUCUGUGUUUAAGGAGCUGUUCUUCUUUAUGUUUUGUUUUUUUUUUUUUUGUAAAAAAAAAAG
Oryzias javanicus (javanese ricefish) is the source of this 1433-nucleotide long non-coding RNA. The record is from Ensembl. Lineage: Eukaryota; Metazoa; Chordata; Actinopteri; Beloniformes; Adrianichthyidae.